CAGUCAGUCCAUUUCACAAGUGACGUUUUUCUUUUAAUAAUGGGUUCGAUGAAGAAGAUGUAGCAUGAUCGCGUUGAAUAAGGUGUUACCAUGGCUACUAUGGACACGCUGCUGCCUUUUCCUUGACAAUAACCCAGGUCGUGAUGUCCCACACCCGGUGCAUCGUGACGGUCUGGAGACAGAGCGCAACCACCAUCUGGAUGGAAUGGUACAUGACAGAACAGCCUCAUUAAGUGGAGAGAAGCACCUCUGAAAUCCCUGAUGUGGAACUUCCAUUCCAGAACCAUCGCAAAACAUUGAACUAGGUAACAGCCGUGAUGUCUCUUAGGCUAGGCACCCCAAUUUGCAUCAGCCAUCACCAGUGUCCUCAAAGCGCCCAGCAUCCAUAAUUGCCUCUGGAAGCCUCCUGCUAAAGUGAAUGAAACAAAUAGGCCAUUAAAAUGCUGGGUACUUUUCACGGUACGUCACCCCCGG
This 474-nucleotide long non-coding RNA is filed under the name Salmo salar (Atlantic salmon). RNAcentral describes it as "lncRNA (ENSSSAG00000096389.1)". The record is from RNAcentral. Lineage: Eukaryota; Metazoa; Chordata; Actinopteri; Salmoniformes; Salmonidae.